GCUUACGGCCACACCGCCUGGUUCACGCCCCGAUCUCGUUUGAUCUCGGAAGAUAAGAUAGGUUGGGCCUGGUUAGUACUUGGAUGGGAGACCGCCUGGGAAUACCAGGUGCUGUAAGCU
Molecule: ribosomal RNA, 120 nt
Organism: Scophthalmus maximus (turbot)
Lineage: Eukaryota; Metazoa; Chordata; Actinopteri; Pleuronectiformes; Scophthalmidae
Source: Ensembl